Small nucleolar RNA from Phyllostomus discolor (pale spear-nosed bat), 150 nucleotides. The record is from RefSeq and is a predicted model, not a curated record. Lineage: Eukaryota; Metazoa; Chordata; Mammalia; Chiroptera; Phyllostomidae.
ACUGCACAUUGUUAGAGCUGAGAGUAGAGGCCGCUGGUGGUGAGGAACUCAUGAGUGGAGGCAGUGUGCUAUAUAAGGGGAAGUUUUUGCUAACAUUGCAAGGGGCUCUGGCCCAGCCACUGGAGUUUGAUAGUAAUCCUUGCUACAAAU